RNAcentral lists this long non-coding RNA (337 nucleotides) under Androctonus crassicauda. Lineage: Eukaryota; Metazoa; Arthropoda; Arachnida; Scorpiones; Buthidae. The record is from RNAcentral.
CUGAAAGUUCAUUCACCGUGCCAUUGUCUUUAUAUGAACAUAGGAUAGAGAAGCGAUCCUCUUCUUCCAUCACACUAGUCGUUUAGGGAUGGAAGGUUUGCUCCUCUGCAUUUUUGAGACUUUUCUGUAGUUUGUAAAUAACUCCGUUCUCUGCUUGAACACAGUAUUCUCCCAAUAGCACUUCCAUUGCCAGUGUCUUUCUUUGGUGCCUUUCCUGUUCAGCAUUCUCAGCCUGUGGCAGUGAAGAGAAACUUUGUGCUACAUGACAACAAAGCUGCUAAAUCUCCUAUUUUUUUAAAAUCACUAACAUUAUAUUGCAACAAGGGAAAGAAAAAAG